UAGCCGUAAACGAUACUCGCUAGGUGUCGGCCACGGUGCGACCGUUGUCGGUGCCGUAGGGAAGCCGUGAAGCGAGCCACCUGGGAAGUACGGCCGCAAGGCUGAAACUUAAAGGAAUUGGCGGGGGAGCACCACAACGGGUGGAGCUUGCGGUUUAAUUGGAUCCAACGCCGGAAAUCUUACCGGGACCGACAGCAACAUGAAGGCCAGGCUGAAGACUUUGCCGGAUUAGCUGAGAGGAGGUGCAUGGCGUAGUCGUGU
RNAcentral lists this ribosomal RNA (261 nucleotides) under uncultured archaeon. RNAcentral's name for it is "partial 16S ribosomal RNA". It matches the Rfam family "Archaeal small subunit ribosomal RNA", at positions 748 to 1009 of the family's 1478-position model. The record is from RNAcentral.